This 412-nucleotide ribosomal RNA is filed under the name uncultured prokaryote. RNAcentral describes it as "bacterial SSU rRNA". It matches the Rfam family "Bacterial small subunit ribosomal RNA", at positions 505 to 918 of the family's 1533-position model. The record is from RNAcentral.
GUGCCAGCCGCCGCGGUAAAACGUAGGAGGCGAGCGUUAUUCGGAUUUACUGGGCGUAAAGCGCGUGCAGGCGGCUUCGUAAGUCAGGCGUGAAAUCUCCCGGCUUAACUGGGAGGCUGCGUCUGAUACUGCGGAGCUAGAGGUCGGGAGAGGGAAGUGGAAUUCCCGGUGUAACGGUGGAAUGUGUAGAUAUCGGGAGGAACACCAGUGGCGAAGGCGGCUUCCUGGCCCGCACCUGACGCUCAGACGCGAAAGCGUGGGGAGCGAACGGGAUUAGAUACCCCGGUAGUCCACGCCGUAAACGAUGUCGACCAGGUGUUGGGGCGAAAGGCUUCAGCGCCGAAGCUAACGCGAUAAGUCGACCGCCUGGGGAGUACGGCCGCAAGGCUAAAACUCAAAUGAAUUGACGGGG